AACAAUUAUCGGACACGUUUUGGGUUAUAAAAUCGGACACGUUUGGGGAUAAUAGACACGUUUGGGGGAAUCGGACACGUUUGUGGGGAAGAACACGUUUGGGAGUGUUACACAUAUAUUACUCAAUAUUUGACAGCAAUUAUUCAGGCAUUUAAUCGUAUGCAAUUACAAUUUUUUUUCUCGAUAUAUUGAAAUAACCGAAGUAACUUACAUGUUGUAGACACAUUGUAUGUUUGCCACAUUCUUCUCAAUUAAGAUCAGUUUUUCUUGUCGACGCACCCGGAAUCACAUGAUCAUAAUAAACACGUCAUAGAUACCGUAUUGAUAUUUUGUAGUUGCAUCAGACGUGCGUGUCGUCUACUAAAUACUCAUCAGUGACGCUCGAAUAUAAAAAAAGUUCAAAAGGCCAAAUAAAGGUCAAAGUUGAAGUUCCUGUGAUUUCCAAGAUUUUUGUUUUGGUAACCGAAAGUUGUCUCCGAUUUAUCACCAGAUUUU
RNAcentral lists this long non-coding RNA (495 nucleotides) under Mytilus galloprovincialis (Mediterranean mussel). The record is from RNAcentral. Lineage: Eukaryota; Metazoa; Mollusca; Bivalvia; Mytilida; Mytilidae.